This 253-nucleotide ribosomal RNA is filed under the name uncultured bacterium. RNAcentral's name for it is "partial 16S ribosomal RNA". It matches the Rfam family "Bacterial small subunit ribosomal RNA", at positions 524 to 776 of the family's 1533-position model. The record is from RNAcentral.
UACGGGGGGGGCAAGCGUUGUUCGGAAUUACUGGGCGUAAAGGGCUCGUAGGCGGCCAACUAAGUCGGACGUGAAAUCCCUCGGCUUAACCGGGGAACUGCGUCCGAUACUGGAUGGCUUGAGGUUGGGAGAGGGAUGCGGAAUUCCAGGUGUAGCGGUGAAAUGCGUAGAUAUCUGGAGGAACACCGAUGGCGAAGGCAGGUCUCUGGGCCACUACUGACGCUGAGAAGCGAAAGCAUGGGGAGCGAACAGG